AAUGAAGCAAUACCCAAGGAGGAGGCCUGAUUGAAGGUCCAGCAGAGCAGCCUGGCUAAUGGGCAGUAACUAUCAAAGCUUAGCCCGAAGAUGUGUCCCUGAUGUGAAGCCCAGCUCCAAGGACCUUCCCUCCUGCCACCUGACCUGAGAUAGCCAGUCAAUUUGGUUGUGUUCAAGAUCUGCAGAGUGCCCAUCUGGACAAAGUUCAUCAAUAUGGCUACAGCAUCAUUUACAU
Hirundo rustica (Barn swallow) is the source of this 235-nucleotide long non-coding RNA. RefSeq lists it as uncharacterized. The transcript is spliced from 3 exons. Lineage: Eukaryota; Metazoa; Chordata; Aves; Passeriformes; Hirundinidae. The record is from RefSeq and is a predicted model, not a curated record.